This 467-nucleotide ribosomal RNA is filed under the name uncultured bacterium. Its description in RNAcentral is "partial 16S ribosomal RNA". It matches the Rfam family "Bacterial small subunit ribosomal RNA", at positions 28 to 507 of the family's 1533-position model. The record is from RNAcentral.
GAUGAACGCUGGCGGCGUGCUUAACACAUGCAAGUCGAACGGAAAGGCCCCUGCUUGCAGGGGUACUCGAGUGGCGAACGGGUGAGUAACACGUGGGUGAUCUGCCCUGCACUUCGGGAUAAGCCUGGGAAACUGGGUCUAAUACCGGAUAGGACCACAUUUUGGAUGGUGUGGUGGAAAGUUUUUCGGUGUGGGAUGAGCUCGCGGCCUAUCAGCUUGUUGGUGGGGUAAUGGCCUACCAAGGCGUCGACGGGUAGCCGGCCUGAGAGGGUGUACGGGCACAUUUGGACUGGGAUAAGGGCCAGACUCCCACGGGGGGGAGCAGGGGGGAAUAUUGGACAAAGGGGGCGAGGCUGAAGGAGGGAAGCCGCGUGGGGGAUGACGGGCUUCGGGGUGUAAACUCCUUUUGCUAGGGACGAAGCGUUUUUGUGACGGUACCUGGAGAAGAAGCACCGGCUAACUACGUG